Molecule: ribosomal RNA, 514 nt
Filed under: Leuconostoc mesenteroides
Lineage: Bacteria; Bacillati; Bacillota; Bacilli; Lactobacillales; Lactobacillaceae
Description: bacterial SSU rRNA
Rfam family: Bacterial small subunit ribosomal RNA
Source: RNAcentral
GUGGCGAACGGGUGAGUAACACGUGGACAACCUGCCUCAAGGCUGGGGAUAACAUUUGGAAACAGAUGCUAAUACCGAAUGAAACUUAGUGUCGCAUGAUACGAAGUUAAAAGGCGCUUUGGCGUCACCUAGAGAUGGAUCCGCGGUGCAUUAGUUAGUUGGUGGGGUAAAGGCCUACCAAGACAAUGAUGCAUAGCCGAGUUGAGAGACUGAUCGGCCACAUUGGGACUGAGACACGGCCCAAACUCCUACGGGAGGCUGCAGUAGGGAAUCUUCCACAAUGGGCGAAAGCCUGAUGGAGCAACGCCGCGUGUGUGAUGAAGGCUUUCGGGUCGUAAAGCACUGUUGUAUGGGAAGAACAGCUAGAAUAGGGAAUGAUUUUAGUUUGACGGUACCAUACCAGAAAGGGACGGCUAAAUACGUGCCAGCAGCCGCGGUAAUACGUAUGUCCCGAGCGUUAUCCGGAUUUAUUGGGCGUAAAGCGAGCGCAGACGGUUGAUUAAGUCUGAUGUGA